UAUUGGACAAUGGGCGAAAGCCUGAUCCAGCAAUGCCGCGUGAGUGAUGAAGGCCUUAGGGUUGUAAAGCUCUUUUACCCGGGAUGAUAAUGACAGUACCGGGAGAAUAAGCUCCGGCUAACUCCGUGCCAGCAGCCGCGGUAAUACGGAGGGAGCUAGCGUUGUUCGGAAUUACUGGGCGUAAAGCGCACGUAGGCGGCUUUGUAAGUUAGAGGUGAAAGCCCGGAGCUCAACUCCAGAAUUGCCUUUGAUACUGCAUCGCUUGAAUCCAGGAGAGGUGAGUGGAAUUCCGAGUGUAGAGGUGAAAUUCGUAGAUAUUCGGAAGAACACCAGUGGCGAAGGCGGCUCACUGGACUGGUAUUGACGCUGAGGUGCGAA
RNAcentral lists this ribosomal RNA (378 nucleotides) under uncultured bacterium. Its description in RNAcentral is "bacterial SSU rRNA". It matches the Rfam family "Bacterial small subunit ribosomal RNA", at positions 362 to 757 of the family's 1533-position model. The record is from RNAcentral.